RNAcentral lists this ribosomal RNA (237 nucleotides) under uncultured bacterium. Its description in RNAcentral is "partial 16S ribosomal RNA". It matches the Rfam family "Bacterial small subunit ribosomal RNA", at positions 524 to 758 of the family's 1533-position model. The record is from RNAcentral.
UACGAAGGGGGCUAGCGUUGCUCGGAAUCACUGGGCGUAAAGGGCGCGUAGGCGGACUUUUAAGUCAGGGGUGAAAUCCUGAGGCUCAACCUCAGAACUGCCUUUGAUACUGAGGGUCUCGAGACCGGUAGAGGUAAGUGGAACUCCGAGUGUAGAGGUGAAAUUCGUAGAUAUUCGGAAGAACACCAGUGGCGAAGGCGGCUUACUGGUCCGGUACUGGACGCUGAGGUGGCGAAA